GGAGCCGCUCCCGCGGGCAUUGGUACCCCACCGCCGGGGUUAACGGCAUUGCCGGGGGGGUUCACAGCCCCGAGCAACAGCCUUGUCCUGACUGCUGUGCGCCUCGCGGGCCGAGCUGGCCCCGAACUAAGCAAGUGCCUCGAACUUCCCCAGCUCGUGUCCGAGUGAAGCUGGAGACACCUGAAAGCGCCAAAAGAGGGGCAGGGUUGUUCCCCUCCCUCCAGUCUUUACCCAUUCUGGCACUGACCCAAAGACAUGGUCAGAGCUGUUCCAGUUAACAAAAUGCAUGUUAGACUAGUUUCGCUUCAAAGAAGAAUUCUGUGUACACUGUGGACAACACCUGGUUCCUGUAAGGCUGCAGAACUGGCCUGACAUCGGAAUCCAAAUAUCCUCUGGUGCCUUUGGUGGUCAGAAAAUGCUGCUGGAAUGUCUACCAGCAUCUCCUGGAAGCUCUGCCCGUUUCCUGAACCAGGAGUGAAAGCUCAAGCAAGAGAAGUUCUUCAAAUGACACCUCCUCGAUAUUGCUGGCUCUGAUUACUGGGCACGCAUAGCCAAACAUGACUGCUCAGCAAGCUGUGUUGGCAGGCUGCUCAAACUUCCUGUAAUGGGGGAGGGGGGGGAGACACCAUCAAGAUUUUCAAGCCCAAUGUGAACGCUGGAGCCCUGGUUUAGAAAAUCCUUAACGUAGGGUUGCCAGUCAGUCUAGAUGCUCAAACCCUGGGGUCUUGAGCCCAGGAUUUGCAGACUCUCAUUCCACUAACCCUGGGCUUACAUUGCAAUUAGACAUACCCCCUCUUUUCAGCACAAGAGGGGAGCCUGCAGGACAAUCCCAUGUCCCCUCAGAAUCUCUCCCUCCUGGGGGAGACAUGUUGCACCUCACUGUCAUCUUCCGUUGCUGUGGCCAAGGAGAGGGCAGGCUGUGCUAAUGCAGCCAUGUUCUCUAGACCAGAGGUGGGCAAACUAUGGCUCGCAGGCCACAUCUGGCCUGUGGGACCCUCCUGCCCAGCCCCUGAGCUCCUGCCCUGGGAGGCUCA
Molecule: long non-coding RNA, 1034 nt
Organism: Trachemys scripta elegans
Lineage: Eukaryota; Metazoa; Chordata; Testudines; Emydidae
Exons: 3
Source: RefSeq, a predicted model, not a curated record